UCUGCCAAGAUAACAACAGGACACUCAUCUUUUAGGCGAGGGCCUUUCAUCUAAUGCGUGGUUUGGAAUUUUUCCCCUUUUGCAAAUGAAAAGAGGCCCAACUCCCGAUUGUCCUCCCCCAGUCCCUGGCUACCAAGGAGAUGUAGGUAGAGAUGGCUCACUCUGUAAUGGUGCUAAUCAGGUUGAAGAUUGGCUUCCUCCUCCUCCUCCACCAUUCCCUCCAUAUCGACCGUGCAAUGAGCACCAAUAACUAUAUCAGUAGCCUCUGCUUAGGAGCCAAUUACACCAUCCAUGGUGAGUUCGAAUCGAACAUGCACAGCGUCUUCAAUAACUUGAUAAACGCUGCCCAUCCCCUUGGUUUUGCUGAGGCCACCGCAGGUGAAGGACCGGAAACGGUUUACGGCCUGGUUCAGUGCAGGCGCGACAUUGAUAACGUGACCUGCAACGCGUGCAUCUCUGCUGCCACCGACCAAAUCGUCCAUCCAUACUGCGGCACCUCAAUGGAUGCGAUCAUAUGGUAUGAAAAGUGCCAGCUCCGCUACUCCAACACCAACUUCUUUCGUCUCCUAAAUUCUGAUGAUUAUGGUAAUUCAUCUACCGGUCACAAAGCGCAAGAUCCUGAAGCCUUGUAUUACAAGUUGGCAAGCCUGUUGAAGAGUAACCUCACUUCUGAAGCGACAAGAGAGCCUUCAGGGACGAUGUUUGCUACGGGAGAGAUGCAGUAUACAAACCUAGAGACGCUCUACGGGCUGGUGCAGUGCACCGGGGACACCAGCCUCAAUGAUUGCAAGGAAUGUUUGAAUAGCAUCAUCUCCCAGAUUCGAUCGACUUGCAACGGUGAGGAAGGCUGUGAAAUUGUCACGGGAAGUUGCCGUGUAAGGUAUGAUACCCGGCUCUUUUAUGGUACCACUACCACUCCAACCCCAUCUCCUCCAGCACCUCCAUCAAAUGGCGCAUCCAACACUACGCCAGGGACGGGCAAUAUUAUAAUCGAAAAACCGAUUGUCAUCUCGGUUUUGAUUGCGGUUCUCGUGAUUACAUGCGCCAUUUGUGGGUUUUGCUGGUGGAAGAGAGAGUUUUGUUGCUUUUGGAGAAAGAAGUUGAGCGGCUUGCAGGGGAUGGCAGAAGAGGAGGCGGCCUUGGAACAACAAGCUUUUAGGAGAGCAGAUCCGAUGGACGGACCAACAUUCGACCUGGUCACUACCAGAUCUGCCACCAACAAUUUUGCACUCAGAAAUAAGCUUGGGGAAGGAGGAUUUGGUUCUGUUUACAGGGGCCAACUACUGAAUGGUCUAGAAAUAGCUGUGAAGAGGCUGUCACUAAAUACAGGACAUGGUUCGAAGCAAUUCGACAAUGAAGUGCAGACACUCACUAAACUUCAACACAGAAAUCUUGUCCGACUUUUAGGAGGCUUUAUGGAAGGUGAAGAGAAGAUACUCAUCUAUGAAUAUGUAUCCAACGGUAGUCUGGACAAUUUUCUCUUCGGAGAGCCAACAAAGCGUAUGCAGUUGGACUGGGCAGUACGUUCCAAGCUCAUAAAUGGCAUAGCCAGAGGAGUUAUGUAUCUUCACGAAGAUUCUCGUCUGAGAAUUGUUCACAGGGAUCUGAAAGCAAGCAACAUUUUAUUAGAUACAGACAUGAAUCCCAAGAUCUCAGAUUUUGGCACUGCGAAGAUCUUUGACACAGACCAAACACAAACCGAUACACUUGAGGUUAUGGGAACUCGUGGAUAUAUGGCACCUGAGUAUCUUCUUGAAGGAAAAGUAUCAGUAAAGAUAGAUGUUUACAGCUUUGGUGUUUUGGUGCUGGAAAUCAUAAGUGGAAAAAAGAAUUUCUCCUUAAUUCAACAAGAUACUGAUGAAAAUCUCUUAAAUUAUGUAUGGAGACUUUGGGGGGAAAACAAGGCUCUGGAAGUUGUGGAUCAAACAUUGGAAGAAACACGUGAUAGCGAUGAGAUACUAAGGUGCAUCCAUAUUGGCCUGCUAUGCGUCCAAGAAGAUGCAUCAAGCAGGCCCAGAAUGUCCAAGGUUGUUGCGAUGCUUGAAAACAGCUCCUUGAUUCUUCCAUCCAUUUUGCCUCCUGCCCCCCCUACCAGGAAAAUCAAAAACCUUUCUUCGGGAGCACAAACGAGCUCAACUGCAUCAGGAAUUGGUUCAGAGCUUUAUUCAUCUUCUUACUGAAGCUUUUAACUACUCAUGGGAGAAGGAAGUCGAGAUGAACAUCUAUUGCUCUGCCUUUUAAGGACAGAAAGGAUUAAAUCACUCAUUUGGUGGACUUAACAAGCUGCAAUUUCGAGCUGACCGCUGGUCAAAGAGCUACCAGUACUACAAAAUCUUACUUUUUCUCCAAGUGGCACCAAAAAAACUGCAUGAUGGUGAACAUUAACAUAAAAUUUAUUUUUUAAUUUGUGCCCUAAUACAGAACAGUAUUGAAGACAUCUUGGGUAGAAUAAUGCAUUGUUCCUUAUCAGACUUCAUUCUAAGAACACAUGCAUUUUGAGAGCUUGAACGAAGGUGAAAACAAGAACAGAGCUUGUGAACAAGGUAAUCUAAGUUACCCACGAGUGCGCUUGGGCAAUAUCUAGGCUUGCUUGUCAAGCCAAAUCACUACGUUCCGUCUUCGUUACAGUUGAUUUUUGUAAGAAAGUUCCUGAUUUAAUGCCUAUAUAUGAUUCCAUGUUGUGGAAUUCAAGGUUAAUGUCAUCAUGGAUUUAGUUA
RNA transcript from Nymphaea colorata (pocket water lily), 2717 nucleotides. It is a transcript of the gene named cysteine-rich receptor-like protein kinase 15, with no coding region annotated. The transcript is spliced from 8 exons. Lineage: Eukaryota; Viridiplantae; Streptophyta; Magnoliopsida; Nymphaeales; Nymphaeaceae. The record is from RefSeq and is a predicted model, not a curated record.